GCCAACGUGGCAUAGUGGUUUGAGCACUGGGCUAUGACUCUGGAGACCAGGAUUCAAAUCCCUGCACUGCCA
Phrynosoma platyrhinos (Desert horned lizard) is the source of this 72-nucleotide non-coding RNA. The record is from the annotation of a GenBank genome assembly. NCBI's taxonomy places the organism in Eukaryota, Metazoa, Chordata, Lepidosauria, Squamata, Phrynosomatidae.